GGGGAUUGUGCUGUCUGGAUAAAUGUUCACUGCUCUCUAUAAGGGGAAUGGAUUGAGGUCACGGCACUAAAGCAUCUCCCUCAGUUCAAAGUGAUCUCCCAGAGAUCUUAGUGUGGCCGAGCUUUUCUGCUCCAGGUGGUCCACAGCCAGCCACCUGUGUUGUCUUUGUGGCGCUGUCAUCUGUCUCCGGGCAGGCUUUGUGGGGUUGCCAGUUUGAGGACAGGCCUGGUGAGCACCGAUGAUGGAGAUAGUGCUUUCUGCUGCUGCUUCUCCCAGACUCUCACAGGACUCCAGUUUUACCGGACACACGGAGCAAUGUUUACACCCCUAGCCAGUCCAAAAGAGAAAUCCUGGGAAACUGCUUCAUUCCUUAUUGUUUGUAUGGUGUUAGCUCAAAGUGUGAUGUUCUGUUGUAAAAUUAAUUCACAAGUAUGUAAACAGCUUUCUGACAAUUUAUGUUAAGCAAUGUAUGUAGCAUGUGGAAUCCAAAUAAAUGCUGAUAUCAGAACUGAA
This is a long non-coding RNA of Dicentrarchus labrax (European seabass), 513 nucleotides long. RefSeq lists it as uncharacterized. Lineage: Eukaryota; Metazoa; Chordata; Actinopteri; Moronidae. The record is from RefSeq and is a predicted model, not a curated record. The transcript has 2 exons.